AGGAAAUUGUUCAGAUGUGUAAAUCUAUUAGAAAUUAUAAAAUUUCUUAUAGACAAUGUUGAUUAUAACAAAUUACUUGCCCAGGAUAUAGCAGAGAAAAACAGCCUUGAUAAACAAAAUAUUACACUACAAACUGCACAGUGUGAGAUAUGUAAUUCAUUAAAGCUGCCAAAUUGCAUCUGUAAAGGUCAACCAAACACCUGGAAUGCUUCAAACAUUGAAAAUGCAUCUCAAGCGGAAGAAAGCACUUUGCAGAAUUCUAUUGAGACAACUGCAUUGACAGAUUUGCCAGGAAAUCAUGGCAAUCUUGGAAAAUCACAAGCAAAAGAUCAAAUAAGAGAAAUACAACUAUACCACCUAAUGUAACUCCUACACAGAAUGACUUAAGUGUAA
Manduca sexta (tobacco hornworm) is the source of this 393-nucleotide long non-coding RNA. RefSeq lists it as uncharacterized. NCBI's taxonomy places the organism in Eukaryota, Metazoa, Arthropoda, Insecta, Lepidoptera, Sphingidae. The transcript has 3 exons. The record is from RefSeq and is a predicted model, not a curated record.